GUAAUUUUAGGGCACCUGACAGCGCCAUUUCCUUCCUCCCUCCUCCUCUGUCGAAGCUUGGAUUUCUAGGCACGGUGCACAGGGGCGAAGCUUGGAUUUCUAGGCAUGGCGCACAGCGGCAGCGCCUCCUUGUCCGUGGUGUAGUCGGUGGCGACGGUGGGCGCCGAGGAGGCGGCGACGUUGAUGUUGAAGCCGGUGGCGGCCGUCGGGGACAAGGAUGCUGGCAUCGCUGGCCUGAACAGCAAGACGCACAUGAAGAUCCUACUGAAAUGGAUGACGGGGAGAAAUGUCGUGAAGCUGACCUGCGUGCACGUGGGCAACGCGAAGAAGUCCUCUACUCCCGGUCCACUGAAAGCAGCAGCAGCGCCGGCGCAUCACCGUCAUCCACAUCGGCCUCGCAGUGACGGUCAGUCGCCGUUAAGCCUUGGUGUGGUUCUUGAUGUUGCUUUGUAGAUCGAUGGAGGCUGCCUCCGGUCAUGGUGAUCCCAUGUUUAACCUUGAUGACGAACAUUGGAAAAAGCAUUUUGUUUUAUGGACUGGAAUAGUCUGCAAACAUCACGAUAGCAAUAUUGUUCUGCUGCUCAUCAGCUGAGGAUGCUGCCCUGUCCUGAACUCCUGAUUUUGCUUUUGAUCUACUAUGUGAUGAUUUGCUC
This 653-nucleotide unclassified non-coding RNA is filed under the name Zea mays. RNAcentral's name for it is "misc RNA Zm00001eb225420". The record is from RNAcentral. Lineage: Eukaryota; Viridiplantae; Streptophyta; Magnoliopsida; Poales; Poaceae.